Long non-coding RNA from Daphnia magna, 863 nucleotides. RefSeq lists it as uncharacterized. The record is from RefSeq and is a predicted model, not a curated record. The transcript is spliced from 3 exons. Lineage: Eukaryota; Metazoa; Arthropoda; Branchiopoda; Diplostraca; Daphniidae.
GCAUUGUUCAAAUUUGACAGCCCUGUAAAAUUAUACCGUGCUUUACUCCAUUUCCAAUUGGCAAUCUGCUAAUUAGGCGGGAAAGCGAUGAGAAACUUAUCAGUCGUAGGAGUCAUUUCACGAGACGACCGUCUUCAACCCCUCUGAGUGCAUUCAACAAACAACUCGAUUUCAACGAGGAAUCUCGAGUAACGAGCUACGUAAUUUACGGCUCGCAGCGUUUCUGUUCGGCGAUAUUGAGGGAAAGCAAAAAGACAGACGUCAAGCGAGCGAAUGGACUCCGUUGGUCAGCUCGUAAAAAGAAACCAACGCCAAAAAAGAACGUAUCCAAACAAUCAAUAGAACCCAUCUUCUCUUUCUCUUAUUGGUUGAAAAGGACCAACAGCUGAAGAAAAUAGAAGGGGAGUGAAUGAACAAGCCUCUUUAACUUAAUAGUAUCCGGUUCAAGGAGUCAAUGAGGUAUCAUCCCGUGCCAAACGCGUCGGCAAGUAAACCGAUACCCAUUUUAUAUUUCCAAAUAACCACUAUGGAUAUAUAGCAACAAGCACUUGACCUUUUCUUUUCUUUUUUUUUUUUGGCAUCAAACCGUCUAACAUUGAAAAAACAAAAGAAUAACCGCCAAGUGACGCCUAUUUCAAUGCACCCCACACACCUGGAUGUAUAGAGAGACUCUUUAAGUAUCUCCAUGGAUCCACCCCUCUUUCGCUAUGGACGAACAGGUAGUCGUCAAGUGCUGACCCCUAUAAUAAUGAGUACAUAGUCUACAUUGAAAAACAAAACAAAAAUAAAACAAAUGUUGAAGUACCUCAGGUCACGAAACGGCGCCUUGUUUAUGAUUCAUUCCGACGACAGAAUGCGAGGGG